UGGGGAAUUGUUCGCAAUGGGCGCAAGCCUGACGACGCAACGCCGCGUGGAGGAUGAAGACUUUCGGGUCGUAAACUCCUUUCGACCGAGAUGAAUUUCCGCCGACCCAACACGUCGGUGGAGUGACAGUAUCGAGGGAAGAAGCCCCGGCUAACUCCGUGCCAGCAGCCGCGGUAAUACGGGGGGGCAAGCGUUGUUCGGAAUUACUGGGCGUAAAGGGUUCGUAGGUGGCCAACUAAGUCAGACGUGAAAUCCCUCAGCUUAACUGGGGAACUGCGUCUGAUACUGAUUGGCUUGAGUGCAGGAGAGGAACGCGGAAUUCCAGGUGUAGCGGUGAAAUGCGUAGAUAUCUGGAGGAACACCGGUGGCGAAGGCGGCGUUCUGGACUGCAACUGACACUGAGGAACGAAAGCCAGGGGAGCAAACGGGAUUAGAUACCCCGGUAGUCCUGGCCCUAAACGAUGAAUGCUUGGUGUGGCGGGUAUCGAUCCCUGCCGUGCCGAAGUUAACGCGAA
Molecule: ribosomal RNA, 515 nt
Filed under: uncultured Acidobacteriota bacterium
Lineage: Bacteria; Pseudomonadati; Acidobacteriota
Description: bacterial SSU rRNA
Rfam family: Bacterial small subunit ribosomal RNA
Source: RNAcentral